ACGAACGCUGGCGGCGUGCUUCACACAUGCAAGUCGCACGGAAAGGCCCUGCUUUUGUGGGGUGCUCGAGUGGCGAACGGGUGAGUAACACGUGAGUAACCUGCCCUUGACUUUGGGAUAACUUCAGGAAACUGGGGCUAAUACCGGAUAGGAGCUCCUGCUGCAUGGUGGGGGUUGGAAAGUUUCGGCGGUUGGGGAUGGACUCGCGGCUUAUCAGCUUGUUGGUGGGGUAGUGGCUUACCAAGGCUUUGACGGGUAGCCGGCCUGAGAGGGUGACCGGCCACAUUGGGACUGAGAUACGGCCCAGACUCCUACGGGAGGCAGCAGUGGGGAAUAUUGCACAAUGGGCGGAAGCCUGAUGCAGCAACGCCGCGUGCGGGAUGACGGCCUUCGGGCUGUAAACCGCUUUCGCCUGUGACGAAGCGUGAGUGACGGUAAUGGGUAAAGAAGCACCGGCUAACUACGUG
Molecule: ribosomal RNA, 467 nt
Filed under: uncultured bacterium
Lineage: Bacteria
Description: partial 16S ribosomal RNA
Rfam family: Bacterial small subunit ribosomal RNA
Source: RNAcentral